GAGCCCAAUUUUAUUUUCAUCUACGUAUUGAAAAUCUCUAAAGGAAAUAUGACUUUAACAUGCAUUUUCCUUUACGAGACCUAUAUGUUAAUGCCCAUGACGAUGUUGAACGGAUUAAUGCAUUCAACUUAAGCGGCAUUUUUAACAAAUUGAAAAGUAGAUUUUAAUAAUAAUAAAACAUAUUUUUACAAAGUACAGUUGCCCUAAAUUUCUAUCAUAAACAAAAUCAAACCCUGGUUUUUUUUUAAUACCACUAUGAAUCUGUUUGUUUUUUCUUUUCUUCCUUUCUUUGUUCUGAAGAGGCGGCAGCUGGUUUUGAGCACAAAUAAGGGUUUUUUUUUUUCUUGUCUUACAGGCUAAAUCAUGAGUGAUAGAAGUUAGAGAUUAAUGGCGAGGUUGGAAAGGAGGCUAUCGCCAUAAGAGGGGCUGUAGGAUUAAGGAAAGAUGCACACAGGAAAUCUAGAGACAGUCAGGGUAGAUAUACAGCCUGCGACCUAAAGAUUGCAUCCCUUAGUGGAGAGAGGAUAGGGGGCAUGAGACCUAAGAAAUGGUGUUGCUACAGAAAUGACACUGAUUCCAAACUCAAGAUAUGAAGAAACCACAUCUAGAGGACUCUCUUGGAGCCACCAAGGAGAAACAGGUUAAACCUGACACCUUCCUUUGGGUGACCAAAGAGGGGUGAUAUAGACCCAAAAUCCUAUCUUGUUUAUUCAUUAUAUGAUUUCCUUAGAACAGGGUAGUGCGUAAAUGUACUGAAGUAAUAAUCAUCUAUUUUAUUUUGGGUUUCUAAAUAAAAGAAAAUCAUUCUUUCUAAAUGUAA
Molecule: long non-coding RNA, 820 nt
Organism: Cryptomeria japonica (Japanese cedar)
Lineage: Eukaryota; Viridiplantae; Streptophyta; Pinopsida; Cupressales; Cupressaceae
Exons: 2
Source: RefSeq, a predicted model, not a curated record